UGUCCCAAGCAACGCCGCGUGGGUGAUGAAGUCUCUUGGGACGUAAAACCCUUUCGACGGGGAAGAAACCGCAAGGUUGACGGUACCCGUAGAAGAAGCCCCGGCUAACUCCGUGCCAGCAGCCGCGGUAAUACGGGGGGGGCAAGCGUUGUUCGGAAUUACUGGGCGUAAAGGGUGCGUAGGCGGUGCGCUAAGUCGGAUGUGAAAACUCUGGGCUCAACCCAGAGCCUGCAUCCGAAACUGGCGUGCUAGAGUUCUGGAGGGGGUAGCGGAAUUCCUGGUGUAGCGGUGAAAUGCGUAGAUAUCAGGAGGAACACCGGUGGCGAAGGGGGGCUACCUGGACAGAAACUGACGCUGAGGCACGAAAGCUAGGGGAGCAAACAGGAUUAGAUACCCUGGUAGUCCUAGCCCUAAACGAUGGAUACUUGGUGUGACUGGGAUUGAAUCCAGUCGUGCCGAAGCUACGCAUUAAGUAUCCCGCCUGGGGAGUACGGUCGCAAGGCUGAAACUCAAAGGAACU
Molecule: ribosomal RNA, 520 nt
Filed under: Acidobacteriota bacterium
Lineage: Bacteria; Pseudomonadati; Acidobacteriota
Description: bacterial SSU rRNA
Rfam family: Bacterial small subunit ribosomal RNA
Source: RNAcentral